RNAcentral lists this transfer RNA (77 nucleotides) under Tritrichomonas foetus. RNAcentral's name for it is "tRNA-Lys". It matches the Rfam family "tRNA". Rfam says of the family: Transfer RNA (tRNA) molecules are approximately 80 nucleotides in length. Their secondary structure includes four short double-helical elements and three loops (D, anti-codon, and T loops). The record is from RNAcentral. Lineage: Eukaryota; Parabasalia; Tritrichomonadida; Tritrichomonadidae.
GCCUUCGUAGCUCAACCGGCUAGAGCAUAAGACUCUUAAUCUUGGGGUUGCGGGUUCGAGUCCCGCCGGAGGCUUCA